CAGCUCUUGGGCGUCAUUUAUUUUUUGCAUAGGCAUAAAUUAGGAUCUGGAGAUAAAAAACUUAAGAACCAAUAGUGCAGCAUUUGUAACAGGGACUGAAGUGCUGUCUCCCACCCUAGCUCCUCCUCUUCCAAAUCCACUCCCCUCCCUUCCAGUCCAAGGGUGACCCUGACUUGAUCCUCAGUAGAGAGGCCCACAGGAUCCCCCUGCAGCCCCUCUGGCCCCACCACAGGACAGAUACUCACAAAGAUGGCGAAGUCCUUGGGGGCACUGGAGAUAGUGCUGUUGGGUGACAAGGCCUUGGGCACAUGCUCUAAGGUAACGGCUGUGGGGCGGAUGCGGGCAGAGAGGCGGACCACGGCGAAGCCUUGUGGCCCCUGGAAGGCCCAGCAGUUGCCUGGGUGCCCACCUGGAGGAUGACUCGGGGUGACUGGGAGUGGUACCACAGGGGGAUGCCGAAGAGGCUGAGGAGGGCCGUCUUGGUCUCGUAGGUCUCAGAACAUCGGGUGCUGAUGACGCUGGCCCCU
Long non-coding RNA from Homo sapiens (human), 527 nucleotides. The record is from Ensembl. NCBI's taxonomy places the organism in Eukaryota, Metazoa, Chordata, Mammalia, Primates, Hominidae.